RNAcentral lists this transfer RNA (61 nucleotides) under Fuelleborniella sp. FuspCA. RNAcentral's name for it is "tRNA-His". Lineage: Eukaryota; Metazoa; Arthropoda; Insecta; Psocodea; Caeciliusidae. The record is from RNAcentral.
ACUUAAAUAGUUUAAUAAAAACAUAAAUUUGUGGAAUUUAAGAUGAAGAUUUCUUUAAGUA